UGAAAUCUCCUGAAGGUUCUCUGGU
Molecule: non-coding RNA, 25 nt
Filed under: Rattus norvegicus (Norway rat)
Lineage: Eukaryota; Metazoa; Chordata; Mammalia; Rodentia; Muridae
Source: RNAcentral